AUGAUCAUUAUACCAGGUAAACAAACAGUUCUGACUGCAGCUGUAGGAAUCAUAGUGGUUGUUCUGGUUCUCAUCCUCUGUCUCUCUGGACUCAUGUGGUUCAGGAGAUCCACAGGAGGAAGUGAUGCCACAGCAGACACACAGAGUGUCCGUCCUGACUGUAACAGUGACACGUACACAGCUCUGAACAUGAGGACCAUGUCCUCUGACUAUGACACUUUGGCAAGUGUCCAUGCUGACCCUACCAGGGACCCCAACAGUGACACAUACACAGCUCUGAACAUGAAGACCAGGUCACCAGAGUAUGACACCCUGGCAAAUGUGAGACUCUCCCAGUGACACAUCCCCUCAGAUAGAUGCUGAGCCCUCCGAUUAUGAGAACGUAAGAGAACUACCAUGGACCCUGGACUGAAGAGAACCACCACAGAACCUGGACUGAAGAGAACCACCACAGAACCUGAAUUGAAGAGAACCACCACAAAACCUGGACUAAAGACAGCCCCCGCAGAACCUGGACUGAAGAGAGCCCCUGCAAAACCUGGACUGAAGAGAGCCCCCGCAGAACCUGGACUGAAGAGAGCCCACCGCAGAACCUGGACUGAGGAGAGCCACUGCAGAGCCUGGACUAAAGAGAGCCACUGCAGAACAUAGAGUGAAGAGAGCCACCACAGAACCUGGACUAAAGAGAACCACCACAGAACCUAGACUGAAGAGAGCCACCACAGAACCUGGACUGUAGAUCUUCGGCACUAAACCAAAGAAAGGCCUUACAUCUCUAUUAUCCUGCUGUCAUAUCUAGAAGUGUGAGGACAGACACCGAGAGAUGAGAAGAAAGUACAGGGAGUGAACAUUUAAUAAAUAACAGACAUGAAACAAAACACGGACAGUGUCUGGACAAGGGAAACAAAACACGGACAGUGUCUGGACAAGGGAAACAAAACACGGACAGUGUCUGGACAAGGGAAACAAAACACGGACAGUGUCUGGACAAGGGAAACAAAACAUGGACAGUGUCUGGACAAGGGAAACAAAACAACAUCAAUGCUGACAGGGGCAUCAAACUGAGGAAUAGACAGAUUUAAGGGAGGCAAUCAAUAAAGUGAUGGAGUCCAGGUGAGUCCAAUGAAGCGCUGAUGCGCAUAACGAUGGUGACAGCUGUGUGUAAUGAUGGGCAGCCAGGGAGGGGGAACGGGAGCAGGCAUGACAAGUAGGUUUUCCAGACCAUUAGUAAUUAUGUAAAUGCUGGAGUUGAUUUCUCAGUCCUUGACAUUAUAAUGAUGUAGAUUGAUAAUUAAUGGGAUAGAUUAUGCUUCUGCUAUUUUCUAUGGGAUUUUGCCUUUUCCAGAUUUUUUAUAACAUAAAUAUCUGUCUUUUCUCGUGUACAUAUUUGUUUACUAUCUAUAGUUUAGACUUUUCGAUGUUUUUAUUACCUAAUGUUCUUUUCUCAGUGUCUAAUACGGAUAAUAUUGAUAACAGUUUUUGUAAUGUGUAUCUCUCUUGGACCAAGGUGCUCUUGAAAUGUACAAAUGAUCUACUUUGUAUUGUUGUCAGACAUUAUUGUGCAACAGCAUUCAUGAACGUGAAUAUUAAUAACAUAAUCACACUUGUUUUCUUGUGACAUUAUUCAUUAUUACCUCCUUUAGAUAAAGUGUGAUUCAGUGUAAUGUAUGCAUCAUGUUGUAAAUUAGCUCACAAUAAAUACAAAAUAUUGUGUGAAAUAUUACAGUGGUCUUUAUUGUCUGUUGAAAAUCUU
Molecule: long non-coding RNA, 1753 nt
Filed under: Oncorhynchus kisutch (coho salmon)
Lineage: Eukaryota; Metazoa; Chordata; Actinopteri; Salmoniformes; Salmonidae
Description: lncRNA (ENSOKIG00005036288.1)
Source: RNAcentral